GAUGAAGAACGUAGUGAAAUGCGAUAAGUAGUGUGAAUUGCAGAAUUCCGUGAAUCAUCGAAUCUUUGAACGCACAUUGCGCCCCCUGGCAUUCCGGGGGGCAUGCCUGUCCGAGCGUCAUUUCUGCCCUCCAGCCCGGCUGGGUGUUGGGCGCUGUCCCCCCGGGGACACGCCCCAAAGGCAGUGGCGGCGCCGCGUCGGGUCCUCGAGCGUAUGGGGCUUUGUCACCCGCUCGGGACGGACUCGUCGGCGCUGGUCUUCCUCCAGGCGACCCUUCGGGGCUCGUCUUCCUUCGGUUGACCUCGGAUCAGGUAGGGUUACCCGCUGAACUUAAGCAUAUCAAUAAGCGGAGGA
This 354-nucleotide unclassified non-coding RNA is filed under the name soil metagenome. RNAcentral's name for it is "partial contains 5.8S ribosomal RNA, internal transcribed spacer 2, and large subunit ribosomal RNA". The stretch from base 1 to 120 matches the Rfam family "5.8S ribosomal RNA", at positions 35 to 154 of the family's 154-position model. The record is from RNAcentral.